UUUUUUGUUAUUAUUUUUGCUGCACGCGAGAAACAUGACGCAUGUGCACGGUAAAUAUUUAACGCAUGUGCGGGGUAAAUAUUAAAAGCGGUUUCUUGUUUCUGACAUUUGCGGUGAGUUGCAAUUUGCGGAUCGAUAUUGAUGCGUAUAGGUGCAGCGUUAUGGUGGGAGAGGCACAGCUUUCUGAAAGCGUUCGACGACGUGUGAAAACUCGUGGCAACAUGACGACGGAGAGGGUGGGGUGAAAACCGUGGUAAACGUGGGAACUGUUGUUGAGAUGGAGAGAAAGUAUUAUAGUGAAGUAUCCAGCAGUGGCAAGGAAUGUACGGUAGAGCUUGUAGUGGAGCUGGGAGAGGCGAGCAUGAGGGACGAAGGGAUAAGAAACAUGUCGGAUGCGAUCAUACCAGCACUAAAGCACCGGAUCCCAUCAGAACUCCGAAGUUAAGCGUGCUUGGGCGAGAGUAGUACUAGGAUGGGUGACCUCCUGGGAAGUCCUCGUGUGUGGCAUUCUC
This 512-nucleotide ribosomal RNA is filed under the name Hordeum secalinum. Lineage: Eukaryota; Viridiplantae; Streptophyta; Magnoliopsida; Poales; Poaceae. The record is from RNAcentral.